RNAcentral lists this ribosomal RNA (440 nucleotides) under uncultured bacterium. RNAcentral's name for it is "partial 16S ribosomal RNA". It matches the Rfam family "Bacterial small subunit ribosomal RNA", at positions 338 to 795 of the family's 1533-position model. The record is from RNAcentral.
CCUACGGGAGGCAGCAGUGGGGAAUAUUGCACAAUGGGGGAAACCCUGAUGCAGCAACGCCGCGUGAGUGAAGAAGUAUUUCGGUAUGUAAAGCUCUAUCAGCAGGGAAGAAGAUGACGGUACCUGAGUAAGAAGCCCCGGCUAACUACGUGCCAGCAGCCGCGGUAAUACGUAGGGGGCAAGCGUUAUCCGGAUUUACUGGGUGUAAAGGGAGCGUAGACGGUGAGACAAGUCUGAAGUGAAAGCCCGGGGCUCAACCCCGGGACUGCUUUGGAAACUGCCUGACUGGAGUGCUGGAGAGGCAAGCGGAAUUCCUAGUGUAGCGGUGAAAUGCGUAGAUAUUAGGAAGAACUCCGAUUGCGAAGGCAGCUUACUAAACUGCCACUGACAUUGAUGCUCGAAAGUGUGGGUAUCAAACAGGAUUAGAUACCCUUGUAGUC